UACGGAGGGGGCUAGCGUUGUUCGGAAUUACUGGGCGUAAAGCGCACGUAGGCGGCUUUGUAAGUUAGAGGUGAAAGCCCGGAGCUCAACUCCGGAACUGCCUUUAAGACUGCAUCGCUUGGACGUCGGAGAGGUAAGUGGAAUUCCGAGUGUAGAGGUGAAAUUCGUAGAUAUUCGGAAGAACACCAGUGGCGAAGGCGACUUACUGGACGACUGUUGACGCUGAGGUGCGAAAGCGUGGGGAGCAAACAGG
This 253-nucleotide ribosomal RNA is filed under the name uncultured bacterium. RNAcentral's name for it is "partial 16S ribosomal RNA". It matches the Rfam family "Bacterial small subunit ribosomal RNA", at positions 524 to 776 of the family's 1533-position model. The record is from RNAcentral.